GCAGGCUGGAUUUUGUGUAAUUAUUUAAAAAAUAUGGUGCUCAGACAGCAGAUAAAUCAAGAAAAGUGCCUGGCCCAGAGAAAUUGUUUCUGACGUUCUGAAACAAGGAUUUGAGAUGAUCGGGUUUCCUCUUUCUGCAAGGCACUGUCACAUCUUAAGUACCUCACAGCAUCAGAGAUGGAGGGAGACAGCUGAACACAGCUGAACACAGCCUGAACUGCCUGUGCACAACAGAUCCUGGCAUUGUUUUUUUUGGAAUGAACACAAAAACCUUGAUAGUGUUAUGGUUUAUGUGGCAUAUGAUAAUAAGCUGAUUCAUUUCCUGCUUAGAUUCUUACCCAAAUUUAGAUCUAUUUUAUUGUUGUUGUUGUCUAAGAAGCAGUUAAAGAUGUAUCUCUGCAUCCUAGCAGUUUCUCAUCUCCAUACAGGAAACAAAUUCUAUAUGGUUCUGCUGCAACUUGAUCCUGUGCCCAGGAAUGUUUCUCGUCAGCACCACCACCACCAAAAAAGGAGCACUUUUUAAAUUGUAUCAAGGUAGGAUGAGGUGCAUGUCCACACUCCCCUCUCUGCUGAGGAAGCACAUCAACAUUUGGGCCUUUCCUGCAGUGAAAGGCCCCAGCACACGUCUCCGCGCCCAGCCUUGAAGCAGGGGAAAUCUUUCCUCCUCAUAGGGAAUCUCAGUGCUGGGAUGCUAUGCCCUCAUUUCCUACCACCACCUGCCUGUCCUCUUUGGGCAUUAGAACCCUUUUGCUGGGUGCAGGAUGCCCUGGGAAGUGCUUGGAGCUGCCACGCCUAACUUGGUGUGCUUGUACACACUGAGCAGCACACUAGGCAAGUCUCCUGCUGGAGUAACAAAUUGGGGUGAUGCUGAUAACACAGCUUCCUGUGUUUGCUUAUUAAAAUGUAGGGUACAAAAGGAGCUAAGUUGUGUAGCUUUCCCUCAUGUGCAGCUGCUUUGUGUUGAUGCAACUUCCUUGGGAAGCAAAAAAUCAACAGGAAAAUUCAGGCUUUUUUUCCCACUGAGUCAUGCUGUUGCAGCUAUGCCAGAAGACAGAGCUUUCUGUGUUGGUAGUGUCAGCCUUUGUGUCACAGCUUGCAAACCUCCCUGCAUGCUGCAGCUCCGACGGCAGCAAAUCAGCUUCACGCUCUUCUGGCUGAAGGCUUUUGGGAAGGUUCGAAGAUGAAUACAUGAAGCACUGUGAAGCAGAUUAAAGCACAGGCACCAGCGGCGCAUGCCAAGGCUCUGCUCCCAGACCUGUGAACCGAUGCCAAGCCUUCCACAUCUUGUUCCAGAGGCUAUGAGCACAGUCUCCCAGCAGAACAGCAGCACAAGAGCUGUUUAGAGCACGGAUGCUGCCAUGCAGGUGGAAAGGGAGAAUGUUGGGGACUUGCUGCAGAAUCAUCUCAGCUACAGCAAAAUGUUCAACCAAAGUAAACAGAAACCAGCAACUAAGCUGAUGUGGCAAGUGUGGGUGAUCUACAUAGCCUUGGCUGCACACCUCCCUGAAGAACAAGCCCUGAGACUGGCCUGUCUUUCAUGCGAUGCCACUGAGUCUUGCAACUGCUCUUCCAUGGGUUUGGACUUCAUUCCCUCAGGGCUCACGGGCAAAAUCACGAUGUUAAACCUGGCCCACAACAGGAUAAAGCUGAUCCGGGCACAUGAUCUGCAGCAGGCUGUGAACCUGAGAG
Molecule: long non-coding RNA, 1689 nt
Organism: Phasianus colchicus (ring-necked pheasant)
Lineage: Eukaryota; Metazoa; Chordata; Aves; Galliformes; Phasianidae
Source: Ensembl